CCUGUUUUUUCUGUAAAAAUGUUACAGAAGACAAUACCUGUGUGCAUAGUGAAAACACAUGUGAUUCGGGAUUGUGGCGGUACUGUUACUCUCGGCUGAUUACUAAAGGAAAAAUUGUGAUAGGUGUGGACCGGGGUUGCAGUGACGUAUGUCGUGUCCUGAAGAAGAAGAAGGAAGACUUUGAGGAAAAGAUGGUGUGCUGUGCCCGAAACCUUUGCAACUACCACAACUUCUGGACUAAUCAAUGAAUCAAUGAAUCAAAGUCUUUAUUGCGGAGGGUUUGAAAGAUCUCUACAAUUCUGUUAAUGACCAGUUCUGUUGCUGAAUCAUUUCUCUCAGAAAAAAACAAAAUGACCACCACAUAAAUCUUGACGGAUGAUUCACAAAUGCACUAAUAUGGAUGUUGCUUUGAUGUGCUGUCUGUCUGUCUGUCUGGCCAGCCUCCUAGAGAGCUCAGUGGUUUAGAUAUCUAGCCUCAGGGCCCAAGGUUAGGAGUUUGUUUCCAUUAAAAGCUCUUUUUUCCUAAAUUCCAUUUUGUGGCCCAAAGCUUUGCUUACUUGAGGAAGAAUAAUAAGAACAGGCCAACCUAACCUCCUUUGGGAGAAGCCAUCAACUCUUGUGUCCUCAUCAAACAUUUCUAUGGGGGUAAGUGAGACUACCAGGACCAGGACAGUUUGAUUUGAAUUAUUUUCAAUUGACUAAAUGAUGUAAAAGUCAAGGCAGAACACCUGGAGUCCCUCCCCAUGUCCAUAGUUUUUUCCUCCAUUGCUGCGGCUUCCACUGUUCUGCUGGAAUCAAAUCCCUUUGUUCAGGCAGUGUGAUCACUUGCACCGAUGUGGAGGGGUCUAUAGUCUCUGUAUUUAAGGCCAUUCUACCCGGGUCUAGCAGCUGUGAGAGAGGCAGGGCAAUGAGUAAAUUGACUCCUAUUUGAAUCCUUUCCACCCCAUGUGUGAUGCCUGAUCUGCUUUCAUCUUCUUUUCCCUUCCUCCAUCUCAGAAAUUGAUUAAUUGAACAGAACAAGGAAUUAACAGAGUCAAGGAAGUUUU
RNAcentral lists this long non-coding RNA (1046 nucleotides) under Pogona vitticeps (central bearded dragon). RNAcentral's name for it is "lncRNA (ENSPVIG00000011028.1)". Lineage: Eukaryota; Metazoa; Chordata; Lepidosauria; Squamata; Agamidae. The record is from RNAcentral.